This 104-nucleotide transfer RNA is filed under the name Bacteroides uniformis. RNAcentral describes it as "tRNA-Gly". It matches the Rfam family "tRNA". Rfam says of the family: Transfer RNA (tRNA) molecules are approximately 80 nucleotides in length. Their secondary structure includes four short double-helical elements and three loops (D, anti-codon, and T loops). Further hydrogen bonds mediate the characteristic L-shaped molecular structure. tRNAs have two regions of fundamental functional importance: the anti-codon, which is responsible for specific mRNA codon recognition, and the 3' end, to which the tRNAs corresponding amino acid is attached (by aminoacyl-tRNA synthetases). tRNAs cope with the degeneracy of the genetic code in two manners: having more than one tRNA (with a specific anti-codon) for a particular amino acid; and 'wobble' base-pairing, i.e. permitting non-standard base-pairing at the 3rd anti-codon position. RNAcentral also lists the same sequence under 8 other names. The record is from RNAcentral. Lineage: Bacteria; Pseudomonadati; Bacteroidota; Bacteroidia; Bacteroidales; Bacteroidaceae.
AAGGAAGUAGCUCAGUUGGUUGCUGACGAAAGCGCAGCUUUUGGCAGCCGCAGAAGAGCAUUAGCCUUCCAAGCUGAGGGUCGCGGGUUUGAGCCCCGUCUUCC